RNAcentral lists this unclassified non-coding RNA (621 nucleotides) under Hevea brasiliensis (rubber tree). The record is from RNAcentral. Lineage: Eukaryota; Viridiplantae; Streptophyta; Magnoliopsida; Malpighiales; Euphorbiaceae.
AUAUAUAACAACGCCUAAAGAGAGCAGUUACAUGGGAUGCUCAAAAGCUUUUAUCAAGUUUGUAUGGUAUACCAAGAUCAUGCAGUUGAAAAUUAAACAAAACUUGGCUCAUCUUUUUAACAAACAAAAGCCAUUGUGAGCAUUAAAAAACUGAGGGAGGCAGACCCAAUUGCAGCAUCAAGUGCAUUUAGCUAGGUAUGCAUCCCAUCCUUGAAGUCGAUAUUCACGGGCUGCCUCUGCAGGAUCUGCUGCCUUUAUAAUCCCACGGCCCACAAUGAUGAUGUCACUACCCCUAUCAUAGAUCACAGAAUAUGGGGUGUUAUAUUGCUGGCCAAGGGCGUCUCCCCCAGUCACCUUUUGAACACCUGGGGUUGCUUGAAUAAAUGCUGGAUUUAUUGGUGCCCCUGGCCAUGAUGCUGGAUUAACUGAGAUGAAGCCAAUGACAAAAUCUGAAUGUUCUUCAGCAAUUUUUACUGCUGCAGCUGUGUAAUCUCCUGUGGCAAAGUUACCAGCUGAACUCAUUUCUGCAAGCAACAAUAGGCCCCUACCGCGAGGCAGACCCUUCAAUUUCAAUCCAUCCACAAUUCCAGGACCAGAAAUAAUGUGAGCAUUAACAAUAUC